UACAGAGGUCUCAAGCGUUGUUCGGAUUCAUUGGGCGUAAAGGGCGCGUAGGUGGCGGGACAAGCGUGCGGUGAAAGCCUGGGGCUCAACCCCGGGUCGGCCGUGCGAACUGUUUUGCUUGAGCACUGUAGAGGCAGGCGGAAUUCCGGGUGUAGCGGUGGAAUGCGUAGAGAUCCGGAAGAACACCGGUGGCGAAGGCGGCCUGCUGGGCAGUAGCUGACACUGAGGCGCGACAGCGUGGGGAGCAAACAGG
RNAcentral lists this ribosomal RNA (253 nucleotides) under uncultured bacterium. RNAcentral's name for it is "partial 16S ribosomal RNA". It matches the Rfam family "Bacterial small subunit ribosomal RNA", at positions 524 to 776 of the family's 1533-position model. The record is from RNAcentral.